RNAcentral lists this ribosomal RNA (494 nucleotides) under uncultured bacterium. Its description in RNAcentral is "bacterial SSU rRNA". It matches the Rfam family "Bacterial small subunit ribosomal RNA", at positions 30 to 507 of the family's 1533-position model. The record is from RNAcentral.
AUGAACGCUAGCGGCAGGCUUAAUACAUGCAAGUUGAGGGGCAGCAUGAUAUACGCGAGUAUAUUGAUGGCGACCGGCGGACGGGUGAGUAAUAGGUAGGAGACCUACCUCAUACAGGGGGAUAGCAUAGAGAAAUCUGUGGUAAUACCCCAUGAGGUUAUAUGAAUAGAGGCAUAUAAUCAAAGCAUAAGCGAUUAUGCGGUAUGAGAGGGGCCUACUGACCAUUAGCUAGUUGGUGAGGUAAGGGCUCACCAAGGCGAAGAUGGUUAGGGGUUUUGAGAGACGACCCCCCACAUUGGAACUGAGAGACGGUCCAGACUCCUACGGGAGGCAGCAGUAGGGAAUAUUGGGCAAUGGGCGAAAGCCUGACCCAGCCAUGCCGCGUGAAGGAAGACGGCCUUAUGGGUUAGUAAACUUCUUUACUACGCGAAUAGAGGUUAGUACGAGAUACUAAUAGGAAGGUAGUGUAGUAAAAAGCACCGGCUAACUCCGUG